AAAAAAAGCAGGCCCACUAGGUGUUCGAGAAAAGUCCUAAUUGAAAAAUUGAACAAAAAACAAACAAAGAGAAUAGCACUGCGUCGUGGCGAAACCACUGCCUUGAAAAUUAAAUUCGGGCGACAACAAGGUGCACGCCCUUCAUGCUGAUUCAUCUCCCAUGGUUUGCGCUAGGGGAAAGCACAGAACAAAGAACUAGGAGGUAAAGCUGGGGAUCGGUGAAAAGGAAUGAUUGAUUAUGAAGAAACUGAAAGCGAAAAAAAUGAAAGGCAAGAAAAAGAAACAAGGAAACUGUUGUGUUUGAGGUGCCUCUAAAGAAUUAAGAGGUGAAGCAAUGGAUCAAUGAAGAAGGAAUGAGUGAGUGUCCAUUAAUUUCUCCAAGAUGACUUGCUCAACAUCUUUUUUUUUUCUUUUUUUUUUUGCUAAGUAUGAUCAUAUUAAAACUCCCUAUAUAUCUUUGUUUGAAAUUUUAUUGAUAGGAUUAUUACAUCGACGGUUAAAGAGGAUCCAU
Long non-coding RNA from Salvia miltiorrhiza (redroot sage), 511 nucleotides. RefSeq lists it as uncharacterized. The record is from RefSeq and is a predicted model, not a curated record. The transcript has 3 exons. NCBI's taxonomy places the organism in Eukaryota, Viridiplantae, Streptophyta, Magnoliopsida, Lamiales, Lamiaceae.